Molecule: ribosomal RNA, 370 nt
Filed under: uncultured bacterium
Lineage: Bacteria
Description: bacterial SSU rRNA
Rfam family: Bacterial small subunit ribosomal RNA
Source: RNAcentral
AUUGAACGCUGGCGGCAUGCCUUACACAUGCAAGUCGAACGGCAGCAUGGGUGCUUGCACCUGAUGGCGAGUGGCGAACGGGUGAGUAAUGCAUCGGAACGUACCCGGAAGUGGGGGAUAACGUAGCGAAAGUUACGCUAAUACCGCAUAUUCUGUGAGCAGGAAAGCGGGGGAUCGCAAGACCUCGCGCUUCCGGAGCGGCCGAUGUCGGAUUAGCUAGUUGGCGGGGUAAAGGCCCACCAAGGCAACGAUCCGUAGCGGGUCUGAGAGGAUGAUCCGCCACACUGGGACUGAGACACGGCCCAGACUCCUACGGGAGGCAGCAGUGGGGAAUUUUGGACAAUGGGGGCAACCCUGAUCCAGCCAUGCC